This 253-nucleotide ribosomal RNA is filed under the name uncultured prokaryote. Its description in RNAcentral is "partial 16S ribosomal RNA". It matches the Rfam family "Bacterial small subunit ribosomal RNA", at positions 524 to 776 of the family's 1533-position model. The record is from RNAcentral.
UACGAGAGCCUCGAGCGUUAUCCGGAAUUAUUGGGCGUAAAGGGUGCGUAGGUUGUUCUGUUAGUCUUUUGUCAAAGCCAGGGGCUUAACCUCUGAUAUGCGGAAGAUACGGCAGAACUUGAAAGUGCGAGAGGUGUACGGAACUCAUGGUGUAGGGGUGAAAUCCGUUGAUAUCAUGGGGAACACCAAAUGCGAAGGCAGUACACUGGCGCAUAUUUGACACUGAAGCACGAAAGCGUGGGUAGCGAAUGGG